GACGAGGUGGCCAAGUGGUUAAGGCAAUGGACUGCUAAUCCAUUGUGCAUUGCACACAUGGGUUCAAAUCCCAUCUUCGUUC
Molecule: transfer RNA, 82 nt
Organism: Loxodonta africana (African savanna elephant)
Lineage: Eukaryota; Metazoa; Chordata; Mammalia; Proboscidea; Elephantidae
Rfam family: tRNA
About the family: Transfer RNA (tRNA) molecules are approximately 80 nucleotides in length. Their secondary structure includes four short double-helical elements and three loops (D, anti-codon, and T loops).
Source: Rfam